Molecule: long non-coding RNA, 1409 nt
Filed under: Macaca fascicularis (crab-eating macaque)
Lineage: Eukaryota; Metazoa; Chordata; Mammalia; Primates; Cercopithecidae
Description: lncRNA (ENSMFAG00000051959.1)
Source: RNAcentral
UUACAGCAGGGCCCGGGUUUUGAGGGAUAUACCAAACAGCCUGGAUCCUGCAGAGGGGAGUGUCCUAUUUUCCACCCCUAUGAUGGGCUGAGAGUGAGCCUGCCCGGCUGCAGUGUUUGUGGCCCCUUGGCUUGCAGUGUGGAGGAUGGGGUGGGCUGGCGAGGAGGGGGGAGAGUGGAGAGGCAGGGGACCUGCACAGGUGUCCAGGUGAGAGGGGCCGAGGCUAACUCCAGAUGUAACCGGAGUGAAGGCGGGACGGGGACAGAUUCUUCUAGGAGAAGUACUGUCAGGGUGUUCUGCUGGGGCCCAAGGAUGGAGGUGUGAGGGUGGCGUCCUGCUUUCAGACUUGAGCAAAUGGGUGAUGGUGGUGACAGGAGGAGGAGAGGCAGACUUGGAAGAAAAGUUGAACACUUUGGAUAUGUUAAGAGUAAGACAGCCGGGCGCGGUGGCUCACACCUGUAAUCCCAGCACUUUGGGAGGCCGAGGCAGAUGGGUCACCUGAGGUCAGGAGUUCAAGGGCAGCCUGGCCAACAUGGUGAAACCUUGACUCUACUAAAAAUACAAAAAACGAGCCAGGCGUGGUGGGGUCGCCUGUAAUCCCAGCUGCUUGGGAGGCUGAGGCAGGAGAAUUGCUUGAACCUGGGAGGCAGAGGCUGCAGUGAACUGAGAUCGAGCCACAGCACUCCAGCCUGGACGACCAGUGAGACUCCAUCUCAAAAGGAAAAAGUAAAACACCCUCCUACUUGCUGGUGGGAGUGUAAAUGGGUGUCUCCUUUUUGGAGAACUAUUUGUGAAUACCUCUCAGAGCUACCAAUGCACCCACUCUGAUCCAGAUAUUUCCCUUCUAGAAAUUUAUGUUUAUCCUGAUGAUACAGCCUCAUCCCGAAAAGUGAAAGGUAUACCAGGUUGUUCAUUUCAUGGUGGCAUUGUUUAUGUUUAAAAAAACAAGUUGGAAAGCACUUAGUGUCCUCUAUUGGGGGAAUGGUAAAGAAAAUUACGGUCCAGCUAAUCAUGAAGUGGAACAGUAUACAGCCAUAAAACGGAACCAGGAAACUCUGCAUACACUGAUGUGGGAAGGUCCCUGGGACACAGUGUUCAACUGAAAAGCCGAAGUGGCCAGGCACAGUGGCUCACGCCUGUAAUCCCAACACUUUGGGAGGCUGAGGCAGGCGAAUCACGAGGUCAGGAGUUGGAGACCAGCCUUGCCAACAUAGUGAAACCCUGUCUCUACUAAAAAUAGAAAAAAAUUAGCCGGGCGUGGUGGCGGACACCUGUAAUCCCAGCUACUUGGGAGGAGAGGCAGGAGAAUUGCUUGAACCCGGGGGAUGGAGGUUGCAGUGAGCUGAGAUGGCACCACUGCACUCCAGCCUGGCGAGAGUGAGAGACUCUGUCUCAAAGAAAAAAAAAAA